GCUGUUAUUAAAUGGGCUUAUCAAAGAGCCGCAAACUCAAGCAAUCUCCCGCAAUGUAUGUUAUCCGCCCUCUCAAGGCUGAAACACCGGUUCAAUUCCGGUUGGGAGCGCCA
Molecule: transfer RNA, 113 nt
Filed under: Rhizomicrobium sp.
Lineage: Bacteria; Pseudomonadati; Pseudomonadota; Alphaproteobacteria; Micropepsales; Micropepsaceae
Description: tRNA-Glu
Source: RNAcentral